This 71-nucleotide transfer RNA is filed under the name Hofstenia miamia. Its description in RNAcentral is "tRNA-Gly for anticodon UCC". It matches the Rfam family "tRNA". From Rfam's summary of the family: Transfer RNA (tRNA) molecules are approximately 80 nucleotides in length. Lineage: Eukaryota; Metazoa; Xenacoelomorpha; Acoela; Hofsteniidae. The record is from RNAcentral.
GCGCAGGUGGUGUAGCGGUAGCAUAGCAGCCUUCCAAGCUGUUGAUCCGGGUUCGACUCCCGGCUUGCGCA